RNAcentral lists this ribosomal RNA (497 nucleotides) under uncultured bacterium. RNAcentral describes it as "partial 16S ribosomal RNA". It matches the Rfam family "Bacterial small subunit ribosomal RNA", at positions 28 to 507 of the family's 1533-position model. The record is from RNAcentral.
GAUGAACGCUGGCGGCGUGCCUAAUACAUGCAAGUCGAGCGAACAGACGAGGAGCUUGCUCCUCUGACGUUAGCGGCGGACGGGUGAGUAACACGUGGAUAACCUACCUAUAAGACUGGGAUAACUUCGUGAAACCGGAGCUAAUACCGGAUAAUAUAUUUAACCGCAUGGUUCAAUAGUGAAAGACGGUUUUGCUGUCACUUAUAGAUGGAUCCGCGCCGCAUUAGCUAGUUGGUAAGGUAACGGCUUACCAAGGCAACGAUGCGUAGCCGACCUGAGAGGGGGAUCGGCCACACUGGAACUGAGACACGGUCCAGACUCCUACGGGAGGCAGCAGUAGGGAAUCUUCCGCAAUGGGCGAAAGCCUGACGGAGCAACGCCGCGUGAGUGAUGAAGGUCUUCGGAUCGUAAAACUCUGUUAUUAGGGAAGAACAAAUGUGUAAGUAACUAUGCACGUCUUGACGGUACCUAAUCAGAAAGCCACGGCUAACUACGUG